AUUGAACGCUGGCGGCAGGCCUAACACAUGCAAGUCGAACGAGUGGCGGACGGGUGAGUAAUGUCUGGGAAACUGCCUGAUGGAGGGGGAUAACUACUGGAAAAGGUAGCUAAUACCGCAUACCAUCAGAUGUGCCCAGAGGGGAUUAGCGAGUUGGUGGGGUAACGGCUCACAAAGGCGACGAUCCCUAGCUGGUCUGAGAGGAUACACGGCCACACUGGAACUGAUACACGGUCCAGACUCCUACGGGAGGCAGCAGUGGGGAAUAUGGCACAAUGACAGAAAGCCUGAAGCAGCCAUGCCGCGUGUAUGAAGAAGGCCUUCGGGUUGUAAAGUACUUUCAGCGGGGAGGCGUUACCCGAAGAAGAAGCACCGGCUAACUCCGUGCCAGCAGCCGCGGUAAUUC
This 406-nucleotide ribosomal RNA is filed under the name uncultured bacterium. RNAcentral's name for it is "partial 16S ribosomal RNA". It matches the Rfam family "Bacterial small subunit ribosomal RNA", at positions 30 to 526 of the family's 1533-position model. The record is from RNAcentral.